UAGGUACCAGCUGGAGAUGUUUUGUCCCU
This 29-nucleotide non-coding RNA is filed under the name Mus musculus (house mouse). The record is from RNAcentral. Lineage: Eukaryota; Metazoa; Chordata; Mammalia; Rodentia; Muridae.